Amblyraja radiata (thorny skate) is the source of this 2014-nucleotide long non-coding RNA. RefSeq lists it as uncharacterized. Lineage: Eukaryota; Metazoa; Chordata; Chondrichthyes; Rajiformes; Rajidae. The record is from RefSeq and is a predicted model, not a curated record. The transcript is spliced from 3 exons.
AAUUGGCUUUGGUAUAAAUGUAAAUUGGCCCUAGUGUUAAAUGUGCGGGGAUAGCUGGUCGGUGCGGACUCGGUGGGCCGAAGGGCCUGUUUCCGUGCUGUAUCUCUAAACUUAACUAAACUAAGCUUGUGUGCCACAAAGUCAUUUUCUCUUGUGGAUGUUACGAUUGACUCGAGAAGAUGAUCUUUGCAGCCAAUCAUUCCGGAUGUGAUGCUACUGAGUGACAUGCUUAAGAGAUCUCUUUACAUUGUGUAUUCCUCAUUGCUUAUCCACCUUGUUGUUAUACACACAGAGUGAUACAGUGUGGAAACAGGCCCUUCGGCCCGACCUGCCCACACCGGCCAACAUGUCCCGUCUACACUAGUCCCACCUGUCUGCCUUAACCCCUCUCCCUCCAAACCUGUCCUAUCCAUGUACCUGUCGAAAAUGUUUCUUAAACGUUGCAAUAGUCCCUGCCUCAACUACCUCCUCUUCCAGCUCGUUCCAUACACCCACCACCCUUUGUGUGAAAAGAUUACCCCUCAGGUUCCUAUUAAAUCUUUCUCCCCACCCCCACCUCACCUUAAAUCCUCUGGUUCUCGAUUCCAUUUCUCUGGGCACGAGACUCUGUGCAUCUACCUGAUCUAUUCCUUUCAUGGUUUUGUGCAGGAGUUAAUAGAAGCUUACAACAGAAAAAACUAUUCCUUUUUCCCCAGUUUCCUACCUGCAUUUAUCCUUCAUAAGUGAUAGGAGUAGAAUUCUGCCAAUCCCCGCCUUAAAAAUGUCCACUGACUUGGCCUCCACAGCUGUCUGUGUGGCAAUGAAUCCCACAGAUUCACCACCCUCUGACUAAAGAACUCAGUCACUGGUGGCCUGAACUCAGCUGCUUUCUCAAAAGAGGUAUGAACCCCACUAUCUCGGUAAAGGGCCAGUGGAUGCGUAGAUAGAUACAAAAAAACGCCGGAGCGGGUCAGACAGCGUCUCUGGAGCCGAGGAAUACUCCAACACCUGUAGAUGUGUGUUGGAAAUGUACCUGGAGUUGCGUUGAAGUUUGCCUUUGCCAAAGUCUGUAUGCGGACCUGCCCUACUGUGAAUCCACUGCACUGCUGUAGUGUUCUGACGGGAUGUCGAUCAGCGGCCCAUCAUUUGGCCGCUACCCGCCUGCUCUCUCCACACCGCUGUCCGAGCCCCGAGACAGACGUUCAAACACACUCACUCCUGCGGACUCUAGCAUCUUGCACCCGUCUUCUUGUAGAACCAAACCCGCACAAGCUCUCUCUCUCUCUCGCUCCCUCUGAGUGUCGUGUAAGACUUAUCAAAGAGAGAUAUUUGACAAUGAAACUGCGAUAGCGUUGAGUAGCAUCACAGCCUUAACGCUCGCCGGCCCCUGAGGUUUCCACCGCUCACAGCCUGUGCUAGUUUGUAUCGCCUCUUGCCUUGUUUCAGUUGCUACCUGUGCAUUAACUGGUCUUGCCAAAAACACCGCCUUGUCUGUCCCCCCCCCCCCCACCCACCUCAGUGAACCCACAGGCCCCUCGAAUACGGAUAGAGCGGCCACAUUCACUGAGCAGACAGACAAGGAGGCAUGAUGUAAACAUUUUUUGUUUGUUUGUUUGUUUAAGCGGCAAUUCUCCAAAAUAGUUUAAGAAAAAAAUGCAAGUGUAACACGAGGUUAUGUAACAAAGUAGUUUCAAUUACAUUAUUUAUUUGGUAAGAUGCAUUCUAAACGGUAUUUUAAAUAGCUUGCAAUAUCAAACGGUGUCGAUCUGCUCCACACAUCAAACAAACAAUAAGACGUUUCAGGUCCGAAGGCAGAAGCUUCUGACGAUCUGUACACCGCGCAUGUCGAUCUGAUUGACUCUUCUCAUGGAGUUUUCUGCAUGUAAACGCUCCUGACUUUAAACCUGUCCACUGAACAAAUAAAAAAUAUAUAUUAAUCAUAACUGGUGUCGUGGAUAUUAUCCUCCAUUUCAGCAAAGCCAAGACAUCGAUUCACACGGGAUAGGAGCAGAAUUAGGCCAUUCGGCCCAUCAAG